Molecule: microRNA precursor, 79 nt
Filed under: Diaphorina citri (Asian citrus psyllid)
Lineage: Eukaryota; Metazoa; Arthropoda; Insecta; Hemiptera; Psyllidae
Description: let-7 microRNA precursor family
Rfam family: let-7 microRNA precursor family
About the family: This family represents the microRNAs (miRNA) let-7 and mir-98. let-7 was identified from a study of developmental timing in C. elegans, and was later shown to be part of a much larger class of non-coding RNAs termed miRNAs. The extents of the hairpin precursors are not generally known and are estimated based on hairpin prediction.
Source: Rfam by way of RNAcentral
CCAGGGUGAGGUAGUAGGUUGUAUAGUAAAAUAUUUUUUCAUUUUUAUUUCUUACUAUACAGCUCGCUAACUUUCCUUA